Macaca mulatta (Rhesus monkey) is the source of this 1002-nucleotide non-coding RNA. Lineage: Eukaryota; Metazoa; Chordata; Mammalia; Primates; Cercopithecidae. The record is from RefSeq and is a predicted model, not a curated record.
CGGAGCCCGCGGCGGCGAGUAGGGGGAAAUUCGAAGGAGCCGCGCAGCUUACACCCGCGGGGGGUGGAGGGAGCACUGUGACGAGAAACCGCUGAGCGUGACCGCCCUUCCCUCAAGGAGUUGGCUUUUAGCCUCACGGCCGGUUUCUGUUGGAAAAGCUGGCUGUGAGGCACCGUGCCCCAACCUCCCAGCACCUUCCUUGAUGCUCACUCCUGCUCAGCCCCUCAGUUAAGGUGCCGCACUACACCUGGUCCGCAGGAGGCCUCGGCCGGAACUCGCUUUCAGUGUCAGCCAGCACUUCUAUGCAGAUGAUUUGAUGCUUCUCAAACAUGUACCUUGAGCACUGGUUCUGAUCCCGCUAGUGUAUGGUGAUGCGGAACCCAGGGGAGUACACUAUCAGUUUGGCAUUCCCUCAUCGAACAGAGAAUAUAAGGAAGAAAAAUGUCGGUUCCAGCCAAAGCCCAGCACCCAUCGCCCUUACCCAGAACACUGUAUGCUACAAGAAUCCAUCCACCUCCACCCCUUCUCCACCUGGGUGUCUCUCAGACCCAGAAAAUGGUGCCAUUGGCCCACUGGGGACAGGUGCAGUCUUUUGGGAUAAAAUGGCUAGAUGAGUAUGGACAAGGAGGCAGGGCAGAUACAGUCCUUGCUUCCGGUUUUAGAGUUCUUCUAAACCACAAUCAACUUCUCCAAACACCCACCUUUGUCUUCUACCACAAUAGGGGUCAGAUCUAUUGCUGACUUUUCCUCCACCUUCUCUACAUCAGCAGCACCUAGGGGAAGAAAUGUUAUUGAAAAUAUACCUAAAGGAAGAACAUUCUCCUCUGUUACACACUAUUAUCCAACUGGAUAGACCUACAUCUAAAUGUCUGCGAUUACAGUAAUGUCAGCUGGGCACAGUGGCUCAUGCCUGUAAUCCCAGCAUUUUGGGAGACAGUAGCGGGCAGAUCACUUGAGGUCAGGAGUUCAAGACCAGCAUGGCCAACAUGGGAAAACCCAAUC